This is a long non-coding RNA of Oncorhynchus tshawytscha (Chinook salmon), 602 nucleotides long. The record is from Ensembl. Lineage: Eukaryota; Metazoa; Chordata; Actinopteri; Salmoniformes; Salmonidae.
GGGGAUUCCUCUGAGACACUGACCAGGUCAUGUUGGGGUCAGAUUGGGGCGUGUCUAGUGGCUACAUAUGACCAGGUCAUAGUUGGGGUCAGAAUGGGGCGUGUCUAGUAGCUACAUAUGACCAGGUCAUGUUGGGGUCAGAAUGGGGCGUGUCUAGUGGCUACAUAUGACCAGGUCAUAGUUGGGGUCAGAAUGGGGCGUGUCUAGUAGCUACAUAUGACCAGGUCAUGUUGGGGUCAGAUUGGGGCGUGUCUAGUAGCUACAUAUGACCAGGUCAUGUUGGGGUCAGAAUGGGGCGUGUCUAGUAGCUACAUAUGACCAGGUCAUGUUGGGGUCAGAAUGGGGUGUGUCUAGUAGCUACAUAUGACCAGGUCAUGUUGGGGUCAGAAUGGGGCGUGUCUAGUAGCUACAUAUGACCAGGUCAUAGUUGGGGUCAGAAUGGGGCGUGUCUAGUGGCUACAUAUGACCAGGUCAUGUUGGGGUCAGAAUGGGGCGUGUCUAGUAGCUACAUAUGACCAGGUCAUGUUGGGGUCAGAAUGGGGCGUGUCUAGUGGCUACAUAUGACCAGGUCAUGUUGGGGUCAGAAUGGGGCGUGUCUAGUG